GAUGAACGCUAGCGGGAGGCCUAACACAUGCAAGCCGAGCGGUAUUUGUCUUUCGGGACAGAGAGAGCGGCGUACGGGUGCGGAACACGUGUGCAACCUGCCUUUAUCUGGGGGAUAGCCUUUCGAAAGGAAGAUUAAUACCCCAUAAUAUAAUGAAUGGCAUCAUUUAUUAUUGAAAACUCCGGUGGAUAGAGAUGGGCACGCGCAAGAUUAGAUAGUUGGUGAGGUAACGGCUCACCAAGUCGAUGAUCGUUAUGGGGCCUGAGAGGGUGAUCCCCCACACGGGGACUGAGACACGGACCAGACUCCUACGGGAGGCAGCAGUGAGGAAUAUUUGACAAUGGGUUAGCGCCUGAUCCAGCCAUCCCGCGUGAAGGACGACGGCCCUAUGGGUUGUAAACUUCUUUUGUACAGGGAUAAACCUACUCUCGUGAGAGUAGCUGAAGGUACUGUACGAAUAAGCACCGGCUAACUCCGUGCCAGCAGCCGCGGUAA
Molecule: ribosomal RNA, 495 nt
Filed under: uncultured bacterium
Lineage: Bacteria
Description: partial 16S ribosomal RNA
Rfam family: Bacterial small subunit ribosomal RNA
Source: RNAcentral